AGUGCUCGGCCCCCAGGCCUGCGUUCAGUGAGGCCUCCCGUGGCGUCAGCAUGUUCGUGUGGAGGAAUGUGGAAGGUCACUCUGCGGCCGUGUUCUCCUGGUACUCCAUCGCCUUCCUGACCCCUCCCUGCAGCCACACGAGGCCCAGCAACCUGCCAGUCACUCAGUGGCCUCCAACCAGAGAAAACAACCUGCCAAGUUGGCAGCUGUUGCUCAUGAGCGUCCACCAGGUGGGACAGGGAGUGUUGACCCUGGGCGGCCCCCUGGAGCCACCUGCCCUGAAAGCCCAGGGCCCGCAACCCCACACACUUUGGGGGUGGUGGAACCUGGUAAAACCUCACCUCCCACCAUGGAGGAGGAGCCCUGGGCCCCUCAGGGGAGUCCCUGCUGGACAGUGAGACAGAGAAUGACCAUGAUGAUGCUUUCCUCUCCAUCAUGUCUCCUGACACCCAGUUGCCUCUACCACUCAGAUGAUGUCAGGCCCAGUCCCUCAGUGCCCUGCGCAAGGAACAGGACUCAUCUUCUGAGAAGGAUGGACGCAGCCCCAACAAAUCAGACAAGUACCACAUCCGGUGGCCCAUGAGUGGCGCUCAUGAUCUUCAGCAGGCGGCACCAGGCCCUGGCGGGGCGCACCAGGGUCACCCCAACCAGGAUAACCGGACCGUCAGCCAGAUGCUGAGCGAGCGGUGGUACACCCUGGGGCCCAAUGAGAUGCAGAAAUACAACCUGGCCUUCCAGGUGAAGGUGGCCCACUUGCAACAAGGACCGAAAGAAGUCCAGCUCAGAGGCCAAGCCCACAAGCCAGGGGCUAGCAGGAGUGUAACAAGGGCUCGUGGGAGCGGAGCAUAUCAGAGACGGGCACUGCCACUGCCCCUGGGGCGUCCUCUGAACUCCUGUCAGUUGCAGCCCAAACACUCCAGAGCUCGGAUGCCAAGGAGCAGCUUCUGUGGGGCAGAACGGCUGCACACAGUCAGGGAACCUGGCUCAGCCUGGCCCAAGCCUUCUCCCACAGCGGGGUACACAGCCUGGACGGCAGGGAAAUAGACCGUCAGGCACUACGGGAACUGACACAGGUGGUGUCUGGCACUGCAUCAUACUCUGGCCCAAAGCCUUCUACUCAGCAUGGAGCUCCAGGCCACUUUGCAGCCCCUGGUGAGGGAGGUGACCCGUGGGCAGCCCUGCUGCCGCCCACGUGAGCUGCUCAUUCCCAGCACAUGGCCAGCGAGGUCAUAGCGAGUGACGAAGAGCACACGGUCAUCCAUGAGGAGGAGGGGGUGAUGAUGUCAUUGCUGAUGAUGGCUUUAGCACCACCGACACCGAUCUCAAGUUCAAGGAGUGGGUGACCGACUGAGAGUGGGGACAGCUCUGGGGAGGAGCCAGAGGGCAACAAGGGCUUUGGUGGGAAGGUAUUUGCACCUGUCAUUCCUUCCUCCUUUACUCCUGCCGCCCCUUGCUGGAUCCUGAGCCCCCAGGGUCCCCCGAUCCACCUGCAGCUUUUGGCAGUCUAUGGUCACACCCUGUCCUCCUCCUACACAUACUCGGAUGCUUCCUCCUCAACCUUGGCACCCACCUCCUUCUUACUGGGCCCAGGAGCCUUCAAAGCCCAGGAGUCUGGUCAACGCAGCAGAGCGGGCCCCCUACGGCCCCAACCCCUGGGGAUGGGGGCCCAGGGACGCCUUCCAAGGUGGCCUGUUUCCUCCCAAUGGAUCCUGCCACCUUCUGGUGCAAGAGACCUGAAAGUGUGGGCGACCUGGAGCUACCAGGCUCCUCAGUCAUCAGGGUCCCUCCCGGGCUUUCGGGGUCGGGGCAGAGGGAACCCCACGGACAUGGAUCCCACACUGGAGGACCCCACCGCGCCCAAAUGCAAGAUGAGAAGAUGCUCCAGCUGCAGUCCAAAGCCCAACACCCCCAAGUGUGCCAUGUGUGAUGGGGACAGCUUCCCCUUUGCCUAUACAGGUGGAGAAGCCGAGGACAGGCUCAGGGAACCGGAGACCGAGAAGGCGCUGUCCUCUUCACUGCACGUACCCUGGACCAGUGCCGGCCCUGAUCAUGCAGCUCUUCCAGGCCCACUGCUUCUUCCUGUCCACUAGGCCACAGCCGCCCUCCAGGCCCACUAUGCACACAUCCUCCCCUCCAAGGUUUGUUCUGCCCCUGCCCUGACUCCCAGCCCUGUGGGGGUCCUGACCGCACCUCACCUGGCUCAGACUCUUGACGCUGCCCUGGCUGCCCCACCACUGCUUCUGCCCGAGAGUCACGUGAAGCUGAGAGUAGGGGCAGGGGCAGCAGUGGUGCCAGUUGGGGGGCGGUCCAGUGGGAGGAGCCUCAGCCUCGCAGGCUGCUCCGUGGGACUGAUGACUGCAUGAUCUUCUGGGCACCUCACGGAUCUUCAACUGCAGGUGAAACGGAUGCUGGUGGUGGGUGCAGGGCCGCUGGGAGCUGCUGCAUGGUUCCCAGAGGCUGGACUGAGGCAGGUGCCAACUGAAGCUGCUGGGGCAGCAUGGGCAGGAUGUUCUGCACACAAACCUUGGAGAAGAAGAUGUGUGCAUAGCGGGUCCACUGCUGCUGCCCCUGCCCUGACUCCCAGCCCUGCCUGACCCCACCUCAACCUGCUCAGGCUCUGGCACAACCCUGGCUGCCCUGCCACUGCCUCUGCCCCAGAGUUGGGGCCUUGACAGCCUGGUUGGAAGGGGACACCCCAGCCCUGCCUCAACACCUGGGGGUCUCCAUAACUACCACAGGCA
Molecule: long non-coding RNA, 2741 nt
Filed under: Homo sapiens (human)
Lineage: Eukaryota; Metazoa; Chordata; Mammalia; Primates; Hominidae
Description: non-protein coding lnc-SCGB1C1-2:1
Source: RNAcentral